This 449-nucleotide ribosomal RNA is filed under the name uncultured bacterium. Its description in RNAcentral is "partial 16S ribosomal RNA". It matches the Rfam family "Bacterial small subunit ribosomal RNA", at positions 29 to 523 of the family's 1533-position model. The record is from RNAcentral.
AACGAACGCUGGCGGCAUGCCUAUCACAUGCAAGUCGAACGAGAUCUUCGGGUCUAGUGGCGCACGGGUGCGUAACGCGUGGGAAUCUGCCCUUUGGUUCGGAAUAACAGUUGGAAACGACUGCUAAUACCGGAUGAUGACGAAAGUCCAAAGAUUUAUCGCCAGAGGAUGAGCCCGCGUAGGAUUAGCUAGUUGGUGUGGUAAAGGCGUACCAAGGCGACGAUCCUUAGCUGGUCUGAGAGGAUGAUCAGCCACACUGGGACUGAGACACAGCCCAGACUCCUACGGGAGGCAGCAGUGGGGAAUAUUGGACAAUGUGCUAAAGCCUGAACCAGCAAUGCCGCGGGAGUGAUGAAGGCCUUAGGGUUGUAAAGCUCUUUUACCCGGGAUGAUAAUGACAGUACCGGGAGAAUAAGCGCCGGCUAACUCCGAGCCAGCAGCCGCCGUAA